UGCAAGUCGAACGAGAGGACAUGAAAAGCUUGCUUUUUAUGAAAUCUAGUGGCAAACGGGUGAGUAACACGUAAACAACCUGCCUUCAAGAUGGGGACAACAGACGGAAACGACUGCUAAUACCGAAUACGAUCCGAAAGUCGCAUGACAUUUGGAUGAAAGGGUGGCCUAUCGAAGAAGCUAUCGCUUGAAGAGGGGUUUGCGUCCGAUUAGGUAGUUGGUGAGGUAACGGCCCACCAAGCCGACGAUCGGUAGCCGGUCUGAGAGGAUGAACGGCCACACUGGAACUGAGACACGGUCCAGACUCCUACGGGAGGCAGCAGUGGGGAAUCUUCCGCAAUGGACGAAAGUCUGACGGAGCAACGCCGCGUGAGUGAAGACGGCCUUCGGGUUGUAAAGCUCUGUGAUUCGGGACGAAAGGCCAUAUGUGAAUAAUAUAUGGAAAUGACGGUACCGAAAAAGCAAGCCACGACUAACUACGUGCCAGCAGCCGCGGUAAUACGUAGGUGGCAAGCGUUGUCCGGAAUUAUUGGGCGUAAAGCGCGCGCAGGCGGUCUCUUAAGUCCAUCUUAGAAGUGCGGGGCUUAACCCCGUGAGGGGAUGGAAACUGGGAGACUGGAGUAUCGGAGAGGAAAGUGGAAUUCCUAGUGUAGCGGUGAAAUGCGUAGAUAUUAGGAAGAACACCGGUGGCGAAGGCGACUUUCUGGACGAAAACUGACGCUGAGGCGCGAAAGCGUGGGGAGCAAACAGGAUUAGAUACCCUGGUAGUCCACGCCGUAAACGAUGGAUACUAGGUGUAGGAGGUAUCGACCCCUUCUGUGCCG
This 824-nucleotide ribosomal RNA is filed under the name uncultured bacterium. RNAcentral describes it as "bacterial SSU rRNA". It matches the Rfam family "Bacterial small subunit ribosomal RNA", at positions 56 to 848 of the family's 1533-position model. The record is from RNAcentral.